This 108-nucleotide ribosomal RNA is filed under the name Alligator mississippiensis (American alligator). RNAcentral describes it as "5.8S ribosomal RNA". It matches the Rfam family "5.8S ribosomal RNA", at positions 43 to 153 of the family's 154-position model. Rfam says of the family: 5.8S ribosomal RNA (5.8S rRNA) is a component of the large subunit of the eukaryotic ribosome. It is transcribed by RNA polymerase I as part of the 45S precursor that also contains 18S and 28S rRNA. Functionally, it is thought that 5.8S rRNA may be involved in ribosome translocation. The record is from Rfam by way of RNAcentral. Lineage: Eukaryota; Metazoa; Chordata; Crocodylia; Alligatoridae.
AGGGGGUCUGCUCUGCCUCAAUGUGAAUUGCAGGACACAUUGAUCAUCGACACUUCGAACGCAUUUGCGGCCCCAGGUUCCUCCCAGGGCUACGCCUGUCUGAGCGUC